RNAcentral lists this ribosomal RNA (468 nucleotides) under uncultured bacterium. Its description in RNAcentral is "partial 16S ribosomal RNA". It matches the Rfam family "Bacterial small subunit ribosomal RNA", at positions 28 to 507 of the family's 1533-position model. The record is from RNAcentral.
GACGAACGCUGGCGGCGUGCUUAACACAUGCAAGUCGAACGGAAAGGCCCUGCUUUUGUGGGGUGCUCGAGUGGCGAACGGGUGAGUAACACGUGAGUAACCUGCCCUUGACUUUGGGAUAACUUCAGGAAACUGGGGCUAAUACCGGAUAGGAGCUCCUGCUGCAUGGUGGGGGUUGGAAAGUUUCGGCGGUUGGGGAUGGACUCGCGGCUUAUCAGCUUGUUUGUUGGGUAGUGGCUUACCAAGGCUUUGACGGGUAGCCGGCAUGAGAGGGUGACCGGCGACAUUGGGACUGAGAUACGGCCCAGACUCCUACGGGAGGCAGCAGUGGGGAAUAUUGCACAAUGGGCGGAAGCCUGAUGAAGAAACGCCGCGUGCGGGAUGACGGCCUUCGGGUUGUAAACCGCUUUCGCCUGUGACGAAGCGUGAGUGACGGUAAUGGGUAAAGAAGCACCGGCUAACUACGUG